Molecule: long non-coding RNA, 645 nt
Filed under: Brassica rapa (field mustard)
Lineage: Eukaryota; Viridiplantae; Streptophyta; Magnoliopsida; Brassicales; Brassicaceae
Description: long non-coding RNA (BRAP_LNC003345)
Source: RNAcentral
CUGUGAACCUCCUUUAUGCGAUCAGCGGAUCUGCAGAUACCGCUACAUGUCCAGUCAAAUGAAGCAACACAUAUGUUCCCUGCUUGUGCCUUCCAUUCACAAUCUGCAAUUCCCUCUCAAGAAUAAGAUUCAAAUGUUACAAUGAGGUAAAGGUUUAGUGUCACUACAGAUUUUUGAUAGUCUUUUGGUCUCCUUUUAGCAUUACUUAAAGGAAACAUUCUAGUUAAGUGCAUUGAGCUAGCUUUUCACUACUCUACAAUCAUCUAAAACGUAUUGAACUGAGUGUAGAAACCAAGAAGGUACCAGGAGGAGUGCCGCAACAUAGUCUUCUGUCAUCGAUAUGGGUGACAUCAAGACCGAUAAACCAAGCACCCAAUGUAACAUCCUCAUUUGCAUAUUUGUGCAGAACAUGCCUGGAGAAGCAUUAUAUUAACACCAAUGAGUUAAAAUGAGGUACAAAAUACAAGACACACAAAAGAGAAGUUCCAAGUCUUACUGAUUAAUGGAAAUAUAAGAAGCCAAGUCUCUUGAAAUGGCGUAUAGCUGUCCAGUAGCGUGACGGAAGUACUUGUUCCCGUUCUCACCAAACUUCCAAUACUCUGGCUCGUGGUAUCUAACUCCUCUGCUCCAUAGACAUAUACAAAG